AUGAGAACAUUGGUCCCACCAUGGGGACGUGGUAAAACUUUUCCUUGGGCCCACAGUUCUUUUCAUCCUAUGGGAAUCCGAUUGCCUUUGUUGCGUGGCGAUUUGGAACAGAAAAUUCUCAAAAAGCCACCGCAAGUGGCCACCGUUACCUCUGUCAGGAGUGCCAGCUGCUGCAUCGGAAAUUGUAGCACCUUUCCUUUACUGUCCUCUUCCCUCUCCUUUGGUUUUGUGAGCUGA
Non-coding RNA from Vicia faba (fava bean), 237 nucleotides. NCBI's taxonomy places the organism in Eukaryota, Viridiplantae, Streptophyta, Magnoliopsida, Fabales, Fabaceae. The record is from the annotation of a GenBank genome assembly.